UAUAAAGUGAUGGAAGGUAUCAAAGGACACAGAAGCACCUUAAAAAAUACCUGGGGACAAAACUGGAGCAAAUAAGCAAGGUGACACAAGGUGUGGGUCAAUAAUAUCCAGGUCAAUAUGCACUCCAAGACAAAUAUCCAGGAGUCAUAUGACAUAAGCAGGCAGGUGGGGCACGUAGAGGGUCCACUCUCCAGAAAGCAAUCUGAGGGCGGACCAGCAGACAGUCCAUACUCAAGGAGGAGGCUUUAUCUCUGCUUCUUGCUCCUCCAGGUUGGGCCCUGAAUGGCACCUACUCUAAUGUUCACAAUAUGAAAGGGGAAAGGGUGAAGGAGGUCCUGCAGAAGGCACUGACUAGAUUGAGCUCCUAUCCCAGGCCUGAUGGACCACAUGGUUAAAAUGUCAGUCAGAGGAGGUGCUAACAGAGGAGGAACCUGUCCCAACCCCCUGCUCUAGUUUCCACACACCCUGCCCAAUCACACUGCUGGCUGG
RNAcentral lists this long non-coding RNA (489 nucleotides) under Marmota monax (woodchuck). Lineage: Eukaryota; Metazoa; Chordata; Mammalia; Rodentia; Sciuridae. The record is from RNAcentral.